AGCGGGAAGUAGUUUACUACUUUGCCGGCGAGCGGCGGACGGGUGAGUAAUGUCUGGGAAACUGCCUGAUGGAGGGGGAUAACUACUGGAAACGGUAGCUAAUACCGCAUAACGUCUUCGGACCAAAGUGGGGGACCUUCGGGCCUCACGCCAUCGGAUGUGCCCAGAUGGGAUUAGCUAGUAGGUGGGGUAAUGGCUCACCUAGGCGACGAUCCCUAGCUGGUCUGAGAGGAUGACCAGCCACACUGGAACUGAGACACGGUCCAGACUCCUACGGGAGGCAGCAGUGGGGAAUAUUGCACAAUGGGCGCAAGCCUGAUGCAGCCAUGCCGCGUGUGUGAAGAAGGCCUUCGGGUUGUAAAGCACUUUCAGCGAGGAGGAAGGCCAAUAACUUAAUACGUUGUUGGAUUGACGUUACUCGCAGAAGAAGCACCGGCUAACUCCGUGCCAGCAGCCGCGGUAAUACGGAGGGUGCAAGCGUUAAUCGGAAUCACUGGGCGUAAAGCGCACGCAGGCGGUUUGUUAAGUCAGAUGUGAAAUCCCCGCGCUUAACGUGGGAACUGCAUUUGAAACUGGCAAGCUAGAGUCUUGUAGAGGGGGGUAGAAUUCCAGGUGUAGCGGUGAAAUGCGUAGAGAUCUGGAGGAAUACCGGUGGCGAAGGCGGCCCCCUGGACAAAGACUGACGCUCAGGUGCGAAAGCGUGGGGAGCAAACA
RNAcentral lists this ribosomal RNA (714 nucleotides) under uncultured bacterium. RNAcentral describes it as "bacterial SSU rRNA". It matches the Rfam family "Bacterial small subunit ribosomal RNA", at positions 65 to 774 of the family's 1533-position model. The record is from RNAcentral.